This 881-nucleotide ribosomal RNA is filed under the name uncultured archaeon. RNAcentral describes it as "bacterial SSU rRNA". It matches the Rfam family "Archaeal small subunit ribosomal RNA", at positions 21 to 906 of the family's 1478-position model. The record is from RNAcentral.
AGGUCACUGCUAUCGGUGUUCGAUUAAGCCAUGCGAGUCGAGAGGGGUCAUGCCCUCGGCGGACUGCUCAGUAACACGUGGACAACCUACCCAAGAGUCUGGGAUAACCCCGGGAAACUGGGGAUAAUACCGGAUAGAUCAUCUUUGCUGGAAGGCUUGGUGGUUGAAACUUCAGGGGCUUUUGGAUGGGUCUGCGGCUGAUUAGGUUGUUGCCGGUGUAACGUACCGUCAAGCCUGUAAUCAGUACGGGUUGUGGGAGCAAGAGCCCGGAGAUGGAUUCUGAGACACGAAUCCAGGCCCUACGGGGCGCAGCAGGCGCGAAAACUCUACAAUGCAGGCAACUGCGAUAGGGGAAUAUCGAGUGAUCCUCAUAUUGGGGGUCUGUCCACCCGCCUAAAAAGCGGGUGUUAGCAAGGGCCGGGCAAGACCGGUGCCAGCCGCCGCGGUAAUACCGGCGGCUCGAGUGGUGGCCGAUAUUAUUGAGUCUAAAGGGUCCGUAGCCGGCUUUGCAAGUCUCUCGGGAAAUCCAGCGGCUUAACCGUUGGUCGUCCGGGGGGUACUACAUUGCUUGGGACUGGGAGAGGUAGGAGGUACUCAGGGGGUAGGAGUGAAAUCCUGUAAUCCUUUGGGGACCACCGGUGGCGAAGGCGUCCUACCAGAACAGGUCCGACGGUGAGGGACGAAAGCUAGGGGCACGAACCGGGUUAGAUACCCGGGUAGUCCUAGCCGUAAACGAUGCUCGCUAGGUGUCACAACAGUCGUGAACUGUUGUGGUGCCGUAGGGAAGCCGUGAAGCGAGCCACUUGGGAAGUACGACCGCAAGGUUGAAACUUAAAGGAAUUGGCGGGGGAGCACCACAACGGUGGAGCCUGCGGUUUAAU